CCAACACUUUAACUAAAAUUAAUUUGGCUCGUUUAAUUUUCUUAAAAUUUUGACAAAGUAUUUACUUUGACCCUUUGACAAAAAUAUAAAAAAAUCAUUAAAUUUGAACCAUACUUUUAUCAGAUUAAAAUUACACUGGUUAUAUAGCAGUUUGACAAACACUUAUUUUGAUAAUUGAGAAGCUUAAUAUCCCCUUAACAACACAACAUAAUCAAAACGUUUAGCUGAUUUUACAGAGUUAUCUCCCUGUAGUGUUAGGUACCACCUUAAGU
Molecule: long non-coding RNA, 272 nt
Filed under: Mytilus galloprovincialis (Mediterranean mussel)
Lineage: Eukaryota; Metazoa; Mollusca; Bivalvia; Mytilida; Mytilidae
Source: RNAcentral